RNAcentral lists this ribosomal RNA (406 nucleotides) under uncultured bacterium. RNAcentral describes it as "partial 16S ribosomal RNA". It matches the Rfam family "Bacterial small subunit ribosomal RNA", at positions 30 to 526 of the family's 1533-position model. The record is from RNAcentral.
AUUGAACGCUGGCGGCAGGCUUAACACAUGCAAGUCGAACGAGUGGCGGACGGGUGAGUAAUGUCUGGGAAACUGCCUGAUGGAGGGGGAUAACUACUGGAAACGGUAUCUAAUACCGCAUACCAUCAGAUGUGCCCAGGUGGGAUUAGCUAGUGGGUGGGGUAAUGGCUCACCUAGGCGACGAUCCCUAGCUGGUCUGAGAGGAUGACCAGCCACACUGGAACUGAGACACGGUCCAGACUCCUACGGGAGGCAGAAGUGGGGAAUAUUGCACAAUGGGGGCAACCCUGACGCAGCCAUGCCGCGUGAAUGAAGAAGGCCUUCGGGUUGUAAAGUUCUUUCAGUAGCGAGGCGUUAACUACAGAAGAAGCACCGGCUAACUCCGUGCCAGCAGCCGCGGUAAUAC